This 351-nucleotide unclassified non-coding RNA is filed under the name uncultured fungus. Its description in RNAcentral is "partial contains small subunit ribosomal RNA, internal transcribed spacer 1, and 5.8S ribosomal RNA". The stretch from base 1 to 130 matches the Rfam family "Eukaryotic small subunit ribosomal RNA", at positions 1759 to 1831 of the family's 1831-position model. Lineage: Eukaryota; Fungi. The record is from RNAcentral.
GCAAACUUGGUCAUUUAGAGGAAGUAAAAGUCGUAACAAGGUUUCCGUAGGUAUGUUAUCAAAAAAUUCUACUCUCUUUUUCAUUCAAUAACUAAUUAAAUUAAUAGGUGAACCUGCGGAAGGAUCAUUAAAAAGAUUAGGUACCUUUGGUACCUAUCUUCAACCCAAUGUGAACCUUUAAAAUGUUGCUUUGACAAACCGUUAAAUUUAUUUAACCUUUGGAUUUAUACUAAAGUGUGUUUGUCAAGGAAUUUUUAAACUCAAUUUUUAAUGAAAUUCUGAAAAAAUUAUAAAUAAAUUAAAACUUUCAACAACGGAUCUCUUGGUUCUGGCAUCGAUGAAGAACGCAGC